GUCGUGCAGCUUCACUAGGGCGCCGCGGCCGUCUGCAUCAGAAGAAACAGGUUUGCUUCAUCAGCAUUCAACACAAUGCAACAGACAUUUAUUCGCCCAGUUACAGAGUACAGGGAAAAGAAAACAGAAUGAUCAAGCUCAACUUAUGGAUAUGAUCAGUUGUUUUCUGCAAAAUAAAAGAAGUUUGUUGUUGCAGUUAACAGUAAUUGAUAUAAGAGGCUGCUAAUUUCUGCCAACAACUGGAGGUCUGGAGCUAGAUACAGUUAACUAGCUAAUCCCUCUUUUUGGGUGAGCGUGACGGGGGAAUGAGAGAUGUGAUGCUUCUGGCAAGCCCGUUCCGCGACCGCCUGAAUGAUGCCAUGGCGCGGCUGCUGGGGCACGUGUCGGUCUCCGUUGCCGCGCGCUGUCCCUGCCACUGCUCGUAGUCUCGCAGCAUCACCAGCAACAGACUCAGGACUGGACUUCUUCAGUAGUCACGGGGGGACAUCGAGCGCGUGUUCGGACAGUCAGACAGGUCGUUUUUUCUGUUUCCAAACAGAGGACUGAGAUUACCGUGACUCAAUCAUGUGACUAUGUGAGCAUGUCCCUGCUGAUCGUAUCUUAUCCGUGAUAAGUAAACAGGCAAGGUUAAUUCCAAAUGGAUAUUUAUAGGCUAAGCUGGACUUCUAGAAGACACUUUUGAUUUUUUUUUUUUUUGCUUUGUCCCGAAGAAACAUGGAUGGAUGCGUUGCCAUACACCUGAAUGUUUGGCGUACGCGCCACGCACCUCCGCAUGAGGAAGUGACCCACGUAGUAAUUAAACUAUGCAUGGGUGUGACGUCGACGCAACCUACUCCUGAUC
This 841-nucleotide long non-coding RNA is filed under the name Setaria italica (foxtail millet). RNAcentral describes it as "long non-coding RNA (SITA_LNC001780)". Lineage: Eukaryota; Viridiplantae; Streptophyta; Magnoliopsida; Poales; Poaceae. The record is from RNAcentral.